RNAcentral lists this non-coding RNA (93 nucleotides) under Anaerovibrio lipolyticus DSM 3074. The record is from RNAcentral. Lineage: Bacteria; Bacillati; Bacillota; Negativicutes; Selenomonadales; Selenomonadaceae.
UAAGCUACGGUGAGAAGCGUGAGUUGAACAUGCAGAAGUCAGUUCAAGUCAUAGUACCGAUGAAACCUGUGAAAGUAGGUAGGAGGGAAGGAC